RNAcentral lists this ribosomal RNA (468 nucleotides) under uncultured bacterium. Its description in RNAcentral is "partial 16S ribosomal RNA". It matches the Rfam family "Bacterial small subunit ribosomal RNA", at positions 28 to 507 of the family's 1533-position model. The record is from RNAcentral.
GACGAACGCUGGCGGCGUGCUUAACACAUGCAAGUCGAACGGAAAGGCCCUGCUUUUGUGGGGUGCUCGAGUGGCGAACGGGUGAGUAACACGUGAGUAACCUGCCCUUGACUUUGGGAUAACUUCAGGAAACUGGGGCUAAUACCGGAUAGGAGCUCCUGCUGCAUGGUGGGGGUUGGAAAGUUUCGGCGGUUGGGGAUGGACUCGCGGCUUAUCAGCUUGUUGGUGGGGUAGUGGCUUACCAAGGCUUUGACGGGUAGCCGGCCUGAGAGGGUGACCGGCGACAUGGGGACUGAGAUACGGACCAGACGCCUACGGGAGGCAGCAGGGGGGAAUAUUGCACAAUGGGCGGAAGCGUGAGGCAGCAACGCCGCGUGCGGGAUGACGGCCUUCGGGUUGUAAACCGCUUUCGCCUGUGACGAAGCGUGAGUGACGGUAAUGGGUAAAGAAGCACCGGCUAACUACGUG